Gallus gallus (chicken) is the source of this 6677-nucleotide long non-coding RNA. The record is from Ensembl. Lineage: Eukaryota; Metazoa; Chordata; Aves; Galliformes; Phasianidae.
GUUUUUUUGUGUGUGUUUAGAGUCCCCAAACAUAUGUGCCUUAUUAAAGUGCUGCCCAUUUCAUAGGCUUUAUCUUGCACUGGAUGAUCUCUGGUGGUAGGGAUAUUCAAGCUGCUUUAUACAUUUAGUUGUCCCUGAGUGUCUUUUUGACAGUCUGUUCCAGAUUCUAAUGAUUUUACAUUAAGAUUCAGGGACUCGGUAAUCUCUCCCCUCCCAGUCCCCAACAACAAUAGAAAUAUCAACUCUUCAGCCCUAAAUCAAACACAAAUCUCUCUGAAAUCCUCACCUGGAGCCAUCUUUCAUAGGUCUCUUUUCCCUGUGACUGCUGCAAUCCAUGGGAUCUGCAGUAGUCUUCCUGCUGGAGAAAAUAAAAACAGAUGACAUGAAUCAGGACCUCUUCUUGACAGGAACGAGGUGGAGGGGCUGCUCUCGGACAGCAGGUACACCAUAAAUUGCUGGUUAAGCCUCGCCAACAUUUCUGCAGACGCAUUGGGCUGUGGGAGGUUUGGGCUGCUCCAUUCUUCCACAUUGGUUAUCGUCUUUCAUUUCUUUUACACCUGAUACCAUGUGGUUUACAGAAAUCUCUCUGGACCCAAUAAACCAUGGAAGUGAGCCUCCUUAUUCUGUUUUCUUUCUUCUCCUGCCCUUCUUCAUUCAUUUCCUGGCUCUAAAGCUAAGCAACCAAAUCCCCCAGGGUUCCCUGGUAAGCAAAGGGCAGCCAGAAAUGGCAGGAAAAAGGGUCCUGCCCGAGCGCAAAAGGAAAGGGAAGGAGAGAGAGGAGUCCCCAGACCUCUUCGAGGGGAACAGGUCUGCCUGUCUGCAGCACUCCCGGGCUCUAUUACACACAAGGCGAGUAAAAGACAGGGAAAACCAGAAUUUAUAUAGCCAGGGAUCUGCAUCCCUUCAGGAAACAGUUCAUGCGCUUCUUCUUGGGGCCAGCUAGCGGCACUGGGAGGUUUGUUGUUACCCAGCCUGCAGGCCCUGACAGGCUCUGUCAACGCUGGGCUCCUCUUCUCACUUCCCUUGUGCCAGUCCCCUGGGUGCACCUGCAGGAGGAGCACGGCUGAGUGGACAGAGCAGCUGCCCACAGCCCUGCACAGGCUGAUGAGCCCUGCUUUGCCUCACCGGCGCGGCGCUGAUGGAACACGUGCAGCAACAACCAGCUCCUAAGAAGGACAAAUCCCCAGGCCUGGUUACUAGGGAUCCCACUGAUCGUAUUCCCCUGCCCUUCCAGCUCACGUGCAGGUCCCAAACAAACGGCAGCACAUGCUGAUUCGGAGUGGCAGGCGUGCUGCUGGCCAGCUGGCUGCUGCUGCUUCUCCCAGGGGAUGGGAGGCUUUUUGUUCCAGUAGUGGGGGUGGCAAUUGGGGUUUCUUUUGCCUCCAUCUGGCCACAAGCCUUCGGGUAAUUUGGGGGAAUUUCCUAUCAGUGAAGUUACUCUCUCAUCAGCUGACAGUUUCAAAAGCAAUUCAAGGGAAGAUAGGAAUGACAUCGAGAUAAAAAUGCAAUCACAGAAAGGUUGGGGGAAGUCUUCUUUCCUUCACCCACAAAUUCCUUGAUGCUGGAAAACAUCCCCCUUCCCCAUACCCUCCAAUUUGCUACAGGUUCUAACAUGAACAGCUUCUGCUGGGAGUAGCCGACUGUGCCAAAAUACAAUAGCUGCUGCUCCUCCUCUGUCCUCUCCCCAGAUGAUCACACGGUUCAGCUAUUGACAUCGCCCAGAAAAUGGAAGUUGCUCAGUGUUUACUAACCGUUCUGCUCCUCUCUGCUCUGCGCAGCCCUCUGUGGGGCAGCCAGCUCUCUGCUGUUUACAAGCCCAUCUGCUUCUGUUGCUUUUCUUCACCUGAAGUUACAGCACUCCGUUCAGGAUAUUUCUCGCAGUUGUGGUGGGAACUGUAAAGAGCAGAGGAGGAUUUCAGGUGGUAAGGAAGCAGUACGAAAAGAAGAAUACAAAUCUGUUCUUGUCUAAAUAGACCUAAAAAUAAGGAAAACAAGAAUAAGAUGGCAGAGGAAAUUCCAAACAGCCAAGGGUGGCUUCGGCAGAACAGUCAUUCCAAGGAGAGUUUUCCUUCUAUUUUUAUGAGAACUUUAACAUUUAGAAUCAAACCAGAAAGGAAAAUAACAUGUGCUCCAGUGACUAUUUCCCUGAAAUUACACUGCAGUUCCCUGCAUUUUCAAGUCUCUAGAGGCAGAGCUACAGGACUUCUUUGCCUAAACCUGUACUGCUGCUGCGAGCUGUUUAGUUCAGAGUUCUCCAUGCAGUUUAACUCAAGGCCACGUUUCCAUGGGUAAGAGGGGACCUUGGGAGUCAGAAAGACAUUGGAAACCUGUCUUCCCACACUAUGAGAACCUGGAGGCAACCCUCAGAACCAGAGCUGCUGUCCCAGCAGCUUGAGCCUGCAAGCAUGACUGCAGGAGGGACCAGAGGGGGCUCUCCAGAGUUUCAGGCAUUUAAAAGCUCUCUGUAGCCCAGCUAGCCAGCCAAGCGUGCCAUGCUGCAAGCCUGGGCAGGCUGCUGCAGACAUCCACAGGCUGUGUGCGAGGCAGCUGCGUGGAUGGGAGGCAGACUGCUGGGGAGCAUGCUGUGCUCACAAAUGCUGGUGCAGAUUGAGGGAAUAGCUCUGAGAGCCAAGUUCCCGCGUGCCACAGCCUCUCUGUGCCUGUGCCUGGCUCAGGAUGGGGACAGGGACUGCACUGCGAUGUCUGGGCACUGCCUUGGCCACUGGUAAUCGGCAGAAGGUGGCGGUGACUUUGAUCCCAGUUCACAGUGUUGGUGCUUAGCUUGGAAGAGAAAACAGAAACAUUUUACAGAACAUACACACAUUGAAGUUCACAUUCCGUGUGGGCAAAGCCUGAGAAGGACGAGGAAAUGCUUGUGAGGUCUCAGAAGAACACGCUGUAGGUCCCUUCUGUGCAGUUGGAUCACCGAUCUCCACCAUCUCAGGGUCAGAAACGUGCCUGGCUUAGAGAGCAACGUGAUGUCCCAGUUGGCAGCUUCCUGGUUCUGCCUCACCAGCUCAGCACGGCGUGCACAGAUCACGUCCCAAGUCUUGAGGCUAUUGAGAAAAGACGCUGUGAGCUCCUGGGAAGGGAGGAGCCUGCCAAGGCAGUCCCUCUGAGCAGCUAGGUGCAACACGCCAGCAGAAAGCAGUGCCUGUUGCAACGCUGCAGCUCUCAGGGCCUGCGUCAGGACCUCUCCACACACAUGCUCUUCAUUAGCGCUAACCCGGGAGCAGAAACAAGAGCAAAACCUCCAAGAGGAUUAAGCACAUGGAUGGGAGCUCUGAUGCAAGGACGGAUCCAACCUGAACUUCCUCCAAAACACGCAGUCAGAUCUGGUUGCUCUGGUUUGGAUCUGAAUCUGGCAAGAUGGAAAGCAGCGCAAUGAGAUGCUGAAAGAGGGGAGCAGAAAGAAAGGAAAACAGUUCCCUCCCUCUCACCCCAAAAAUGCAGUGGGCCCAGAAGCGUGCACAAUAAACUCCUCUCCUUUCCCUCACUUCGGGUUACAUUGUUCGCUUUCCUGCAAAUUGUUUCCACAUUCUGUAUAAAUAACCCCAUUGCCAGCGAGGGGGAGGGAGGGAGCAGAGGGGCACGGGGAGAAGGGGUGGGAGGAAAUCAGAUGUCUUUGUUAGUUUUCAAAAAGAAGGUGGAGGAUGGCGAGCAGCAGUUGGGAGCCGGGGCCUUGGCAGGCCGAGCAGAGAGCUGCCAUGGAGCUGUGUUCAGACCUGGAGGAAGAAGAGUAAACACGGGAGAGAUUAUAUAUAAUUACAGACAAUCAUGUUGCUGGGGAUAAACAGGAAUCAAAAGCAGGGAGGCACUGAAGUCUGGCACGUCCCCAAGCCCAGAACAGAAGCCAGCCAGCGAGAGGCAACGCGGCUGGAAAGUGCUUCCCCUUGGGCCUGUUUUCAGUUAGCUCAGGGGCUGGGUUUUUUUUCCCCCCUCUUUCUGGCUUGAGGCGUUCCCCCAUAAAGAGACGCGCCUGCUCACUGGGGAACGGGAGCCAAAGUGAAGUCAGCAGAAUCCCUGUCUGCGACAUUAAUAGAUUACUCUGUGAGAAACAUCAGGAACGUUUGGAAAAGAAACAGCCCGCUGAGGUCAGCAAAACCACCAACAACAGGAAUUUUGGAACAAAAAUGGCUUCAGAAGCACUCCAGAAGCUGUGCCUGCAUGUCCGGCGGGCGCUCUCCUUGUAUGGGGAAGUGACCCUAGAGAAGGAUGUGUAGGGAGGGCUGCACCUGAUGCUCCCAGCUCCCCUGGCUCCAGGGUUUGUGACAAAGCAUCCAGGUCAGAACCGUGCUACCCCAGCAGCAUCAGCACCUUUGUAUUUGCACAGCCUGAGAGAGGGAAGGAAAAAGAUUCUGCACGUACUGGAGGUGCUCUGGAUGCAGUCAGAAGAGCAGGCGCUGAUGCUCCAAGCGUUGCAGCUGAGGUGGGUGAUGCUGAGCACUCAACAGCGUCCUGCAAAGGAGGAGGGGGAAGCGAAGAAACAAAGCUGAGAAGCAAACUGAAAGGCACAUGGCCCACACGGGUGUUUUGUUGUUUUUGUUGUGUUUUUUUUUUUUUUAAAAAAAAAAAAAGGACCUUGAGGGAUUUGAAAGAGGAAAGCAGACUCGCUCAGCCUUCUUUCCCUUGAAGGCUCACUGAAGACUCAGAGGGAAGGCGACAUUGUGCCAAACAAAGGACGGCAACCUCAGCCGCUGACAGGAGGAGGGUGGUUCGGCAGUGUGAAAAGCUCUCUCCCAGGCACUAUUUUAAAUCCAAAUAGCUUACAGCCUGCUGAAUUCUUAAGCCAUUUUCCUCAUCUCUCAGCUGUUCUUCAUUGAGAAUUCAGGCAUAUAUUUCAAAGCAGCAACGCGGAGAGAAAAAUAUAUAUGUAUCUAUAUACAGAUAUACACAAGAAAUAACCAAACCUGUGGUUAAAAUCAGCAUAAGAGCACAGGAAGCAGGGCAUGCACAAAGGCUCUUCUACCUUCCCUCACUCACUAAAGGUGCUCUGAACAUCCUUUCCUAAGGAAAGAAAACUGAUUUUUUUUUUCAGGGAAAUGGCAUUUGCUCUAUGAGAACAGUGUCACAGUGUGGUGAAUGACACCGUUAUCUGGCUACCUGGGUAUAAUAUUUGAUGUAUUUUCUGUGAAUUCAUCAUCGUGAGCAUUUUUCCACCAGGAUUUCUAAUACUGACAAAUCCUCCACCAGUGCUGGGUAUGUGUGGGACAUAUAUGCAUGUGCAGAAGUGCACAAUCUCUCCCUUGGCCAUCUCAAAAUGUAGUGGUGGCACAGACAGGGUCAGUUUAAGCACAAAGUAGGAGCCACAUUCAACUCAAAGCUGCUGGAAAUAGAUUAGAGGGGGCAGAGGGAAUGGAACUGGAAGGCAUUUGAGAUCCAAGCCUUUUCUGCUACAAAAUUACAUUGGCUCUGUGAGGCCAUAUUUAAGCAAUCUGCACCCACAGUUCCUUCCAAAUAUCAGAUGUGAGCAUACAGAACCAAGAAUAAAACCAAGGUAGCAGAGGGGUCCCAACAAUAAGCUGGUUGUGUCCGUACGCCAUGCUGGGCAGAAACAGCACCAGGAGUUUGGCAACACGAUGAGAGAAAGGAAAGGGAGCUCUGGUCCUGACUUCUGUCCAAGGAGAAACGGGGUUACCGAUGUCCUGCAGUCACAGGUGAACACCAACCACAAGUCCCUGACAAAGGCAGGCCCCCAAACAGCCACACUGUGUUAUCAGAAAGCAAGAAUUAAAAUUUUAUCAAGAUGGAAAGAGCAGAUCCUAAGAGAACGUGGAUUUCAGAAGCAAUCACCGCAUCGUUCCGCAGGCACCUCGGUGUGACUCGCAAGGCAGACAGAAAAUCAGAAGAGCUCCACCUAAAUAGAAACACACAGCGACUGCUUCCGGAAAGAGCCCUUGAAAACCUUCAGUGAACAGCCUUUUUUCGUUGAAAUCUUCUGUUGCAAAUAUUGGUUAUUCACUGGAAACAUAAAGCCCAAAAGAUGCGACCAAGCGAUUUUAUUAGAAGUUUCUAUUUCUGCAGCAAAGCGGACAUCUCCAAAAAGGCACAACCAAUUUGCUGUACACUGACUGUCAGCAGAAAAGCAACUCUGAUGCUAAGUUUUUAAUUAGCCCAUAUAAAUGUACAUGCAAAUGGGCAUUUCAAAGGGAAAAGUUAUCCCUCAAACAAAAACUCAUCAACGACAUAAGCUACGGGAAAACAGCAAGCAGGAAUGUUCUGAUCCUGACAUGUACAGCAGCAGAUAAAUAAGGCCAAGUUAUCUCCUCCUGCCCCACCAGGGCUCCCAAAUGUCCAGAAAAAAGCUAUUUGUGAUACAGCUGCAGUGCCCAAGCUGCACUGCUGCUGAAGUACCAGGGACUGAGGUGCACACAAGACAGAAGGAAGACAAAGGGAAAGAGGAAGAUGAAUUAAUGAUCCGACACCAGUGAGAAAACAAGUACAAAUGCGGUCCCCAGAGUUAACACUGUGGGUUGCACGAGGAGCAGGAUCAAUAGGCGCUGUGCGGAGGGAGCCCAGCGCGGGGUUACGGCAGCCACGGUGGAAGUCCCCAGAUUACAAUAAGGCAGCUUGAAGGUGACAGAUUUCAUUGUUGAAGGUGAUAAAAUUCCAUGUGGCGUGCUGCAAAACAAGGGCUGGAGCUCAGCCUGCAGAAAAGGAGGCGGCACCGAGACGGC